RNAcentral lists this ribosomal RNA (185 nucleotides) under uncultured bacterium. RNAcentral's name for it is "partial small subunit ribosomal RNA". It matches the Rfam family "Bacterial small subunit ribosomal RNA", at positions 26 to 218 of the family's 1533-position model. The record is from RNAcentral.
AGCCUGAACGCUGGCGGCGUGGCUAAGACAUGCAAGUCGAACGGGUGUAGCAAUACACCAGUGGCGGACGGGUGAGUAAUGUAUCGCUAACGUGCCCUGGAGCCAGGGAUAGCUGCCCGAAAGGGCAGGUAAUACCUGAUGAAAUAACUUUAUCGCAUGAUGAGGUUCUCAAAGCAGCAAUGCAC